This is a microRNA precursor of Vombatus ursinus (common wombat), 59 nucleotides long. The record is from Ensembl. NCBI's taxonomy places the organism in Eukaryota, Metazoa, Chordata, Mammalia, Diprotodontia, Vombatidae.
UCCAAGUUUUACAGAACAAAGCCUUUUGUUAAAGGGAUUUGUUCUGUGAAGUUUGUAUU